RNAcentral lists this long non-coding RNA (1870 nucleotides) under Homo sapiens (human). Its description in RNAcentral is "HSALNT0387009". Lineage: Eukaryota; Metazoa; Chordata; Mammalia; Primates; Hominidae. The record is from RNAcentral.
GAAAAAAAAAAAAAAAAGACAAGAUUUCAACAAAAGUCCACCUAAUUCCUUAUAUAAUCCUUCAUAAUUAUGCAGAUCCCAUUAUAUUGACUUAUCCUUUUACAUGACUAGCUCCCUCUCUAAAUGGGGAGAUCUUAGAGGGCAGAGGCUGGGUCUUAUUGAUUUAUGGAUUCUCAAUGCAUGACCCAAUGCUUGGUGCAUAGUGAGUGAUGGGUUGAUGGAUAAUUACAAGUAACUGAACGUUGUCUAACUUCUCCAUGGGUGGGAAAUGGGAGAGAAUAAGGGAAGAAAUUCAGUCCUGGAGAAGCUUUCAGUAGUCUCAUAGGAAACAUCUGUAGGUCUAAAGGGGAAAACCAGUGUCUGCAAUUGACUAGAAUGCACUGCUAGGGCAGGGACUGCUGGGGCAGGGAAACUACUGGGGAAGGGGCUGCUAGGUGCUAUUGUUAUUGAUAAUAAUAAAUGGCAUUUACCAAAACAAAAACUAAUAUGUUCCUGAAUCUGCGCUAAGUGCCUUUAUUUAUGUGACCUUAUAUAAUUCCCACAAGAACUCCAUGUAGUUCUUGAAGUUCAUGACUAAUAAUGAACUAUGACUGUGCCCUUUAUAUAGAUUGGAAAAUUGAAGCUGGAAAGUGAAGGAGCCUUUGAAGAGCAGAAGCAGAAGGCUUCCAGUUCAGAUCUGUCUCUCUGCAGAGCUCUCCUUUGUUCUAGCCAGUUUCCAUCUUCUUGGUGUUGCUAAGACAAGCUGUUACUAAGAGGAGGCUAUCCUGACUGACGGCUCAUGCUGGUUUGAGGGUCCUUCUCUUAUUCUGCAGGAAAAGAUACAGAAACAAUGGGAAACACCCCUACAGAGCUCGAGCUUGAGGAUGUGAGCAUCGAUGAGCUUUCCUUUUCUUGGCAAGGGGUUUGGUCUUCAGCUAAAUGUGUGUUUUUGCUGAUUUUAGGGGGAUUCUAAAGCAGCACUGGUUCAUCUAGCUGGAAGUAGCCUCAGCCAAGGCCAUGCUGCUGCAAAAAGUCAAUCCUGGAGCUCAUUUGCUCUUCACUUGACAUAAGUGCUUCCUUUGGUAUUAAUUUUUUUUUUUUUUGCACCAGUGAAGGUUCUUACUUGAAACUGAUUUAACAUAUUAAGGAAAGGGAUCAAUUGAAAGAAUGUUGGGUAGCUCACAGAUGACUGGGAAGUCUGCUUUGGAUGCCUGCUGGAACAAUGGAGGUUGAGAAACAGCUAGGACCCCAGCUGAAAUCAUGCCUGUCUGGUGGAGCAUUAACAUGCUUCCAGAAGUCAAAACUAUAUAAAGGAUAUACUCCGAGAAGUAUUCCUCCCUUCUGUACCCACUCCAUCUUGUUCCUCCUAGCCAGCUCUUGAAGAGUCGGAAAUUCACUCUAAACAGGAGAAGCAGCAAUGAGAACUUCAAGAAGAGAUAUAAGCUCAUCCAAGAUCAACUGCAGAGGAGGACGAGGGAAAUUUUAUAUGGGAACAAUUAUCUGAAAAAUAGAAUGUCCUCAUUUGUAUGGUCAAGGCUGGGUUGCAGAGAAGUCCAUGUUGCAGCUCAUGGAAAAAAAGAACCAAAGGGACUCAAGAACACUGGCUUAUGUCUUAGAUUGGAGAUGACCUGGAAAGUCAACUUUCACCCAUAACCCAUUGGCCUAAAGUAAGUCCCAGAGUCAACUUGAAUUGCAAGGGAUCCGGAGUAAUGCUGUUUAUACCUGGAGUGCUGGGGACCCAGCUUAAACUCUACCACCAUAGAAGACAGGGAAGAUAGAUUUUGAUGGAUGACCAGAAGUUUCUGUUACAUGUACAACAGAUUAAAAAUAUAUAUAUUGCCAGCUGGGUGUGGUGGCUCAUGCCUGUAAUCCCAGAACUUUGGGAGUCCAA